RNAcentral lists this transfer RNA (76 nucleotides) under Dehalococcoidaceae bacterium. RNAcentral describes it as "tRNA-Arg". It matches the Rfam family "tRNA". Rfam says of the family: Transfer RNA (tRNA) molecules are approximately 80 nucleotides in length. Their secondary structure includes four short double-helical elements and three loops (D, anti-codon, and T loops). Further hydrogen bonds mediate the characteristic L-shaped molecular structure. tRNAs have two regions of fundamental functional importance: the anti-codon, which is responsible for specific mRNA codon recognition, and the 3' end, to which the tRNAs corresponding amino acid is attached (by aminoacyl-tRNA synthetases). tRNAs cope with the degeneracy of the genetic code in two manners: having more than one tRNA (with a specific anti-codon) for a particular amino acid; and 'wobble' base-pairing, i.e. permitting non-standard base-pairing at the 3rd anti-codon position. RNAcentral also lists the same sequence under 1 other name. Lineage: Bacteria; Bacillati; Chloroflexota; Dehalococcoidia; Dehalococcoidales; Dehalococcoidaceae. The record is from RNAcentral.
GCCCCAGUAGCUCAGUGGAUAGAGCAGCGGUUUCCUAAACCGCGUGUCGUGAGUUCGACUCUCACCUGGGGUACCA